GUACUGUGAUGAGGAUGAGGAUCUCUUGUUAAGUGUCUCCAUGCAUGAGAGCAUUAAUAAAGCUAGCCGGGGUCACACUGGGAAAAAGACUAUCAAGCCGACGUCCACAUCAACCCAAAGUCAAAAAGACCAAGCAAGCGAAAGUGACAACCACUCCCCUAGUGAGAGAUAUCUUUGAGACAUUCUUCAAGAAUCAGAUUGAUAACAAGUCCAGCUCCGCUCCUCAUAGGAGGAGGUGUGGUGUCUGUGAGAUGUGCCAGCAGCCCGACUGUGGCAAGUGCAAUGCUUGUGCUGAUAUGGUCAAGUUUGGCGGAACUGGAAGAUCAAAGCAAGCUUGUGUUAACAGAAGAUGCCCUUAUAUGGCCGUACAGAUGGCCGAAGAAGAGGAAGAUAACGAUCCAGCUGAUCCUGACUUGAAGAAUGUGAAGACUUGAAGUCUCCAUCAAAGAAGAUCAAGAAAAUAAAGACAAAAGUCGAGUGGAUUGGCGAGCCAAUUUUUGGAAAAGGAGACAAAAGCUACUACACUGAAGUCCUCAUUAACAACAAAGAGAAGGUCUGCUUAUAUGAUGUGGUGUCAGUCUGUCCAGAAGUGCUCGAUGACCCACUCUACCUCACACGCAUCAUGUCAAUGUACGAGGACUCAAAUGGAAAGAAAAUGUUUCACGAAUGGUGGUUUCAUCGAUCUACUGAUACAGUAUUAGGUAAGACUGGAGAUCCACGUGAGCUGUUUCUUAUUGAUGAUUGCGAGGAUAAUUCUCUUGGGGC
This is a long non-coding RNA of Amphimedon queenslandica, 765 nucleotides long. RefSeq lists it as uncharacterized. The transcript is spliced from 8 exons. The record is from RefSeq and is a predicted model, not a curated record. Lineage: Eukaryota; Metazoa; Porifera; Demospongiae; Haplosclerida; Niphatidae.